This 116-nucleotide ribosomal RNA is filed under the name Pteropus alecto (black flying fox). Lineage: Eukaryota; Metazoa; Chordata; Mammalia; Chiroptera; Pteropodidae. The record is from RNAcentral.
GUCUACGGCCAUGCUACCCUGGACAAGCCUGAAGUCUGAUUUCAGAAGCUAAGCAGGGUCAGGCCUGGUUAGUACUUGGAUGGGAGACCACCUAGGAAGACCAGGUGCUGUAGGCA